Molecule: non-coding RNA, 45 nt
Filed under: Trichobilharzia regenti
Lineage: Eukaryota; Metazoa; Platyhelminthes; Trematoda; Strigeidida; Schistosomatidae
Source: RNAcentral
GUCCAGAUGACGAGUCCCAAAUAGAACGAAAUGCACAUCCUGGGU